RNAcentral lists this ribosomal RNA (253 nucleotides) under uncultured bacterium. RNAcentral describes it as "partial 16S ribosomal RNA". It matches the Rfam family "Bacterial small subunit ribosomal RNA", at positions 524 to 776 of the family's 1533-position model. The record is from RNAcentral.
AACGUAGGGGGCGAGCGUUAUCCGGAAUCACUGGGCGUAAAGGGCGUCUAGGCGGUCCAGUAAGUCCUGCGUGAAAGCUCCCGGCUCAACUGGGAGAGCGCGUGGGAGACUGUUGGGCUAGAGACUCGGAGAGGGGUGUGGAAUUCCCGGUGGAGUGGUGAAAUGCGUAGAUAUCGGGAGGAACACCAGUGGCGAAGGCGACUACCUGGCCUGUUCUUGACGCUGAGGCGCGAAAGCUAGGGGAGCAAACGGG